Molecule: non-coding RNA, 1194 nt
Organism: Paramuricea clavata
Lineage: Eukaryota; Metazoa; Cnidaria; Anthozoa; Malacalcyonacea; Plexauridae
Source: the annotation of a GenBank genome assembly
AAUAUAUGAUGUAUAUGGUAAAAUAAAGUAUUUUAGCCUAAUAUUCUAGCUUUCGACUAAGAUUCAGUCAUCAUCUGGUAUCGAUGUAUAAAUGUAACCUAGCAGUUUCUGAUGAUGACUGAACUUAGUCCGGCUAGAAUAUUAAAAUAUUUUCGGAGUUAAUAACGUUAUUUUAUAUGUAUAUCAGUGGUCGGCUUGUUCAUUGUUUCUGACGAUGACUCUGAAAUAGAUUAUAGUAUAGAGUAUACUCUAUACUCUAUACUAUAGUCAGAGUGCAGUGCAUUUCUUGGCGUUUAUGAAAAGUAUAAGCUUUUUAAUUAUGCUAGUUAUAUCACUGUUCAUACAUUCAUUUAUAAACAUUGUGAAAUUAUAAUUAUAUAGGUAGGAAAGUUGCUAUAGAAAUGAAGUAUGUGUUGAAAUGAUGUCUGUACAAAACAUCUAAGCUCAGUCUUGAUAUUGGGUGUCUAAAGGCAAAACAAAGAAGAAGAAGCAAGUGCCAAAGUCAAAGGACAAAGAGUUUUUGGAAAACGAAAAUGACAUAUAAACUGUUUUAGGUCAAUCCAAAUUUAUGCGAACACGCAACAUUUAUACCUCAUUCUAGUAUAACAGCGCCAUAAUUAUUAUAAUAUUUAUUGUUAUGCCUAGUUUAAACGUCAAUUUUUACGUGUGCCAACCUAAUGUAGUAAUGAGUAAUGACAGUAAUGCUGAGUGUUGUCACCGCGGUAAUGUCUAAUGGAGUAAUCACUGAUUAUCACUGACUAUCACGAAAAAAUACAGUCACCCGCAUUACAAUAUUACAGGUUCGAACACGAUAAGCGCGACGUUUGAAGAUAGGCUAAAUUAAUGAAUAAUGCGAAUAAUGUUAGUACAAAUUGUGUAUUAUUAAAACACUGAUAUUUUUUAUUGAUAAUGAUUAUGAUAACGUAUAACCACCCUCUUCAUAAAAUACUGUAAGUUGUAUAAGUGUGACGUUUGCAGAGUGAAGAGUAUGUACUAUAAAGUUCUUUGUAGGUUGGCAUGCAUUGCGAUAAAACACACAAGACUUUUUGUUUGUGGAAACACCGCGUAUAUAUAUAUAACUAAAGUAAUUGUAAAACAUUUAUACUGUGUAGAAUUAGACGUGGACUGGUCGUGGAUAAAGCCUGUUCUAUAUUUUAUAAUCGAAUUAUUUAGCAAUAAACUGAUAUAAUGACA